UGGGGAAUAUUGGACAAUGGACCAAGAGUCUGAUCCAGCAAUUCUGUGUGCACGAUGAAGUUUUUCGGAAUGUAAAGUGCUUUCAGUUGGGAAGAAAGAAAUGACGGUACCAACAGAAGAAGUGACGGCUAAAUACGUGCCAGCAGCCGCGGUAAUACGUAUGUCACGAGCGUUAUCCGGAUUUAUUGGGCGUAAAGCGCGUCUAGGUGGUUAUGUAAGUCUGAUGUGAAAAUGCAGGGCUCAACUCUGUAUUGCGUUGGAAACUGUAUAACUAGAGUACUGGAGAGGUAAGCGGAACUACAAGUGUAGAGGUGAAAUUCGUAGAUAUUUGUAGGAAUGCCGAUGGGGAAGCCAGCUUACUGGACAGAUACUGACGCUGAAGCGCGAAAGCGUGGGUAGCAAACAGGAUUAGAUACCCUGGUAGUCCACGCCGUAAACGAUGAUUACUAGGUGUUGGGGGUCGAACCUCAGCGCCCAAGCAAACGCGAUAAGUAAUCCGCCUGGGGAGUACGUACGCAAGUAUG
Molecule: ribosomal RNA, 524 nt
Filed under: uncultured bacterium
Lineage: Bacteria
Description: bacterial SSU rRNA
Rfam family: Bacterial small subunit ribosomal RNA
Source: RNAcentral